CUCCCCGCCACGUGACCGGCGGCCCGGCACGACCCGCGCUCCGCGCCCCCGCUAUGCGCUUGCCACAGGGCUGCUGUGUUCCUCUGCGGAGCUCGCCCCUCUGGUCCCCAGUCCAAGGAGUUCGCGGUGACCUACACGCGUGCGGGACAUCGGCGCCGGCCUCCCCCUCAGUCUCUGGCAGAGAAAAGGGAAAAGCCGCCAAGGACGAAUGGGGCGUACCCCCGGGGGCCUGACUCAGGUGUGGGGGGCGACGGGCGCGCGGAGGAGCAGGAAAGCGACUGGAAGAGGAGGGACUGGGCAGGGUGUGAAUGGAUGUGGAGCCACCUCGGGCCCGGGAAGAGGCCUAAGGGGCGGGCGGUGAGAGCGCUCGGGCUGUGGCCUCCGCAGAGUUCGGUGAACUCGGGGAAGUCACUCAAACCCUCGGGGCCUGUUUCCUGUUCUCUAAAAUGGCAACAGUAGUAGAACCAACCUCCUGGGCACUUUUGAUGAGAGAAGUGAUGGAACUUUCUUAAUACAGAGCCUCCCCUGUGGCAUUUGAUGAAUGCUGAGUGUUAAACACAGAAGUCGGGAAAGAGCAGGUCAGAGGGUGGUGAGACUGGUCCCUAGGGAGGUGUGUAUGUUGGAAACAUGGAGAAACGAGAAUGCAGAGGCCAAGUUUUUCUGGACACUGAAUGUUCGCGACAGGAUAUAAUUAGAGCUAGCAGUUCUGAGGGACUGAUUAUAUACUUAGCAGUUCACCUGAAUUAUCCUCAUAACCUUCUGAGUGUGGUCUUGCUGCAUCCUAAGGGCCAAGUCUGGAUCUAAGAUGAAUUUGCUACCCGUUGAAGGAAGACUGACUCUGUUGGUGAGAUAUCACCUGUAUUCUGGGAAGUUCUGUGUGUCCUGGCGCCCAUAUUCCAUGCUGGGAGAUCUUUCUGAGAACAUGGACCUUUCAGCCCCUACUCAGCAGCAGCAACAAGCAGUUGGAACUCCAGAACAGCUGUACCUCAAGCCUGAUGUGACUCAGAAGAGUGGUGCAUGCAAUGAAGGAGGCCUCUUAGGGCAUAAUGACUAGCUUUAUGUAUCCCCCUGCCUGGGUAGCCAGACCUGGGUGUUCUAACUGGACCUUGAGGCUGCUGCACUGGUGAACAUGAGAGGCUGAAAUAAAGCAUGA
Zalophus californianus (California sea lion) is the source of this 1153-nucleotide long non-coding RNA. RefSeq lists it as uncharacterized. The transcript has 3 exons. NCBI's taxonomy places the organism in Eukaryota, Metazoa, Chordata, Mammalia, Carnivora, Otariidae. The record is from RefSeq and is a predicted model, not a curated record.